Molecule: ribosomal RNA, 572 nt
Filed under: Salmonella enterica
Lineage: Bacteria; Pseudomonadati; Pseudomonadota; Gammaproteobacteria; Enterobacterales; Enterobacteriaceae
Also listed under: 1 other name
Description: partial 23S ribosomal RNA
Rfam family: Bacterial large subunit ribosomal RNA
Source: RNAcentral
CUGUGUGUUGUUGGGUAGGGGAGCGUUCUGUAAGCCUGUGAAGGUGUGUCGUGAGGCAUGCUGGAGGUAUCAGAAGUGCGAAUGCUGACAUAAGUAACGAUAAAGCGGGUGAAAAGCCCGCUCGCCGGAAGACCAAGGGUUCCUGUCCAACGUUAAUCGGGGCAGGGUGAGUCGACCCCUAAGGCGAGGCCGAAAGGCGUAGUCGAUGGGAAACGGGUUAAUAUUCCCGUACUUGGUGUUACUGCGAAGGGGGGACGGAGAAGGCUAUGUUGGCCGGGCGACGGUUGUCCCGGUUUAAGCGUGUAGGUGUGUGUUCCAGGUAAAUCCGGUUCACUUUAACACUGAGGCGUGACGACGAGGCACUACGGUGCUGAAGCAACAAAUGCCCUGCUUCCAGGAAAAGCCUCUAAGCAUCAGGUAACAUCAAAUCGUACCCCAAACCGACACAGGUGGUCAGGUAGAGAAUACCAAGGCGCUUGAGAGAACUCGGGUGAAGGAACUAGGCAAAAUGGUGCCGUAACUUCGGGAGAAGGCACGCUGACACGUAGGUGAAGUGAUUUACUCAUGGAGCU